Molecule: ribosomal RNA, 497 nt
Filed under: uncultured bacterium
Lineage: Bacteria
Description: partial 16S ribosomal RNA
Rfam family: Bacterial small subunit ribosomal RNA
Source: RNAcentral
GAUGAACGCUGGCGGCGUGCUUAACACAUGCAAGUCGAACGAAGCACUCUAUUUGAUUUUCUUCGGAAAUGAAGAUUUUGUGACUGAGUGGCGGACGGGUGAGUAACGCGUGGGUAACCUGCCUCAUACAGGGGGAUAACAGUUGGAAACGACUGCUAAUACCGCAUAAGCGCACGGUAUCGCAUGGUACAGUGUGAAAAACUCCGGUGGUAUGAGAUGGACCCGCGUCUGAUUAGCUAGUUGGUGGGGCAACGGCCUACCAAGGCGACGAUCAGUAGCCGACCUGAGAGGGUGACCGGCCACAUUGGGACUGAGACACGGCCCAAACUCCUACGGGAGGCAGCAGUGGGGAAUAUUGCACAAUGGGGGAAACCCUGAUGCAGCGACGCCGCGUGAACGAAGAAGUAUUUCGGUAUGUAAAGUUCUAUCAGCAGGGAAGAUAAUGACGGUACCUGACUAAGAAGCACCGGCUAAAUACGUGCCAGCCGCCGCCGUAA